Long non-coding RNA from Dioscorea cayenensis subsp. rotundata (Guinea yam), 289 nucleotides. RefSeq lists it as uncharacterized. The record is from RefSeq and is a predicted model, not a curated record. Lineage: Eukaryota; Viridiplantae; Streptophyta; Magnoliopsida; Dioscoreales; Dioscoreaceae. The transcript has 4 exons.
GGCGACAAUCAUCACCAUUGUUGCCAUUUCGAGGAUUUCAGUGAUCUUGGAGCGUGGUGAUUUCUCUCGGUGACAAGGGAUUCAUGGCUUUUUAUCUCUUUUGCAAAAGCCUUUCCAUGUGAAGAGCCGGCCUACAAUUGGUCAGUUUGGGUGUUUGAGUUUGCAGCGUGCUUGGUGGAAGAGGGGGCUCUUUGUAAUUUGCUGACAGAGCAGUAGUUACAGAGAAAUCAGUUUGCAAAUGAUUUUUUGUGAAACAAAUGCUGCAAUAUACUUCAUUUGAGAUCACAGG